Molecule: ribosomal RNA, 253 nt
Filed under: uncultured bacterium
Lineage: Bacteria
Description: partial 16S ribosomal RNA
Rfam family: Bacterial small subunit ribosomal RNA
Source: RNAcentral
GACGGAGGGAGCUAGCGUUGUUCGGAAUGACUGGGCGUAAAGGGCGCGUAGGCGGUUUUUUAAGUGAGGCGUGAAAGCCCUGGGCUUAACCCAGGAGGUGCGUUUCAUACUGGAAGACUUGAGUGCGAGAGAGGAAAGUGGAAUUCCUAGUGUAGAGGUGAAAUUCGUAGAUAUUAGGAAGAACACCAGAGGCGAAGGCGGCUUUCUGGCUCGCAACUGACGCUGAGGCGCGAAAGCGUGGGGAGCAAACAGG